GUGAGAAUGCAGGCAUGAGUAGCGUGUGACGGGUGGGAAUCCCGUCCGCCGAUUAUCCAAGGGUUCCAGGGUCAAGUUUGUCUGCCCUGGGUGAGUCGGGUCCUAAGGCGAGGCCGACAGGCGUAGUCGAUGGGUAACCAGUUGAUAUUCUGGUACCGGCUUGUCACCGUCCGUGUCGAGGUGUGUGAUGCUAAGCAUGUGAGCUUGUCUUGGGAGUGUUUUUGAUGCUUCUGGGGUGGGUGAGUGUGUGAACCGAUCAUGUAGUAGGCAAGCUGCGGAGGGACGCAGUGAGGUAGCUCAUCCCCGGUGAUGGUUGUCCGGGGCUAAGUGUGUGGACUGUCUGGUAGGUAAAUCCGCUGGGCGUGAAGGUUGAGGCAUGAUGGGGAGCCCACGGUUGUGGGUGAGUGAGUGAUCCUGUACUGUCGAGAAAAGCUUCGUGAGCGAGGUGGCGGGUCCGCCCGUACCCUAAACCGACACUGGUGGAUAGGUAGAGUAUACCGAGGCGAUCGAGUGAAUCGUGGUGAAGGAACUCGGCAAAAUGCCCCCGUAACUUUGGGAUAAGGGGGACCUGA
Molecule: ribosomal RNA, 572 nt
Filed under: Striatella unipunctata
Lineage: Eukaryota; Bacillariophyta; Striatellaphyceae; Striatellales; Striatellaceae
Description: partial Bacterial large subunit ribosomal RNA
Rfam family: Bacterial large subunit ribosomal RNA
Source: RNAcentral